AUGUGUGUAGGAUGGAGCUGGUGUAAAUCUAAAUAUUAACGUAAACUUUAAUAUUUAUCCUACAGGAUAUCCUCCGUCAGAAUAUGGAUACAGUCAAUACUCUGGAUACAAUAAUCAGCUGUACGGAUACAAUGGAUACAAUCCUUACUCCUAUCCGUCCUACCCCGCCCUCUCCUCCUACCCCUCCCUGCCCCCGGUAUCCCCGGGCAGGGUGGAGGCGGAGCCCCCUGAGCCAAGGGUUCGUAGAAGACGGAGAAGAAUGGCAAGGAAGGUUCUGGUUCACACUUGCAGUUUCUCCGGGUGCAACAAAACAUACUCAAAAUCCUCACAUCUCAAGGCACAUUUAAGAACACAUACGGGAGAGAAACCAUUUUUUUGUACCUGGAAGG
Long non-coding RNA from Eurytemora carolleeae, 389 nucleotides. RefSeq lists it as uncharacterized. Lineage: Eukaryota; Metazoa; Arthropoda; Copepoda; Calanoida; Temoridae. The transcript is spliced from 3 exons. The record is from RefSeq and is a predicted model, not a curated record.